UACGGAGGGUGCAAGCGUUAUCCGGAUUCACUGGGUUAAGGUGCGUAGGUGGGAAUGUAAGUCAGUGGUGAAAUCUCCGUGCUUAACAUGGAAACUGCCAUUGAUACUAUGUUUCUUGAAUUCUUCCGGAGGUCAGCGGAAUAUGUCAUGUAGCGGUGAAAUGCUUAGAUAUGACAUAGAACACCAAUUGCGAAGGCAGCUGACUACAGGGGCAUUGACACUGAGGCACGAAAGCGUGGGGAUCAAACAGGA
This 252-nucleotide ribosomal RNA is filed under the name uncultured bacterium. Its description in RNAcentral is "partial 16S ribosomal RNA". It matches the Rfam family "Bacterial small subunit ribosomal RNA", at positions 524 to 777 of the family's 1533-position model. The record is from RNAcentral.